Molecule: ribosomal RNA, 253 nt
Filed under: uncultured bacterium
Lineage: Bacteria
Description: partial 16S ribosomal RNA
Rfam family: Bacterial small subunit ribosomal RNA
Source: RNAcentral
UACGAAGGGGGCUAGCGUUGCUCGGAAUCACUGGGCGUAAAGGGCGCGUAGGCGGCCAUUCAAGUCGGAGGUGAAAGCCCAGGGCUCAACCCUGGAAUUGCCUUCGAUACUGUCUGGCUAGAGACCGGAAGAGGUAAGUGGAACUGCGAGUGUAGAGGUGAAAUUCGUAGAUAUUCGCAAGAACACCAGUGGCGAAGGCGGCUUACUGGUCCGGUUCUGACGCUGAGGCGCGAAAGCGUGGGGAGCAAGCAGG